CCUACGGUCGGCUGCAGUUAGGAAUAUUGGUCAAUGGGCGCGCGCCUGAACCAGCCAAGUCGCGUGAGGGAAGACGGCCCUACGGGUUGUAAACCUCUUUUGCCGGGGAGCAACGGGCGCCACGUGUGGCGCCACUGAGAGUACCCGGAGAACAAGCAUCGGCUAACUCCGUGCCAGCAGCCGCGGUAAUACGGAGGAUGCGAGCGUUAUCCGGAUUGAUGGGGUUUAAAGGGUACGUAGGCGGGGCGUUAAGUCAGUGGUCAAAUUGAGGGGCUCAACCCCUUCCCGCCAUUGAAACUGGCGCUCUUGAGUGGAAGAGAAGUAUGCGGAAUGCGUGGUGUAGCGGUGAAAUGCAUAGAUAUCACGCAGAACCCCGAUUGCGAAGGCAGCAUGCCGGCUUCCUACUGACGCUGAAGCACGAAAGCGUGGGGAUCGAACAGGAUUAGAUACCCUAGUAGUC
RNAcentral lists this ribosomal RNA (460 nucleotides) under uncultured bacterium. RNAcentral describes it as "partial 16S ribosomal RNA". It matches the Rfam family "Bacterial small subunit ribosomal RNA", at positions 338 to 795 of the family's 1533-position model. The record is from RNAcentral.